AGAUUGAACGCUGGCGGCAUGCCUUACACAUGCAAGUCGAACGGUAGAGUAGCAAUACUUGAGAGUGGCGAACGGGUGAGUAAUAUAUCGGAACGUGCCCAGUCGUGGGGGGAUAACGUAGAGAAAUUUACGCUAAUACCGCAUACGAUCUAAGGAUGAAAGCGGGGGACCGUAAGGCCUCGCGCGAUUGGAGCGGCUGAUAUCAGAUUAGGUUGUUGGUGAGGUAAAAGCUCACCAAGCCGACGAUCUGUAGCUGGUUUGAGGGAACGACCAGCCACACUGGGACUGAGACACGGCCCAGACUCCGUACGGGAGGCAGCAGGUGGGUAAUUUGGACAAGUGGGACGAAAGCCUGA
Molecule: ribosomal RNA, 356 nt
Filed under: uncultured soil bacterium
Lineage: Bacteria
Description: bacterial SSU rRNA
Rfam family: Bacterial small subunit ribosomal RNA
Source: RNAcentral